UACGGAGGAUCCAAGCGUUAUCCGGAAUCAUUGGGUUUAAAGGGUCCGUAGGCGGUUUGGUAAGUCAGUGGUGAAAGCCCAUCGCUCAACGGUGGAACGGCCAUUGAUACUGCCAGACUUGAAUUAUUAGGAAGUAACUAGAAUAUGUAGUGUAGCGGUGAAAUGCUUAGAGAUGACAUAGAACACCUAUUGCGAAGGCAGCUUACUACGCAGAUAUUGACGCUCAUGCACGAAAGCGUGGGGAUCAAACAGG
RNAcentral lists this ribosomal RNA (253 nucleotides) under uncultured bacterium. RNAcentral's name for it is "partial 16S ribosomal RNA". It matches the Rfam family "Bacterial small subunit ribosomal RNA", at positions 524 to 776 of the family's 1533-position model. The record is from RNAcentral.